UUCAACAAAUGUUACUGCGCAGACAGUGAUUACCGUUAAAACUACCAGCAGCAAGGACAAUCAAAAGAAGCAGCAUGAAGACAUACAGUUUGGUAUUGAUAAUUGUUCUUUUUGUCCAUACUUACUGUAUGGAUCCGCCUACGAAGUGCCCAUUGGUUUGCCCGAUGAACUGGAUGCCUUUUUGUGGAUCAGACGGACACACCUACAGCAACAAGUGUGAACUCGAUGCCUACAAUUGUCUCUUUAAAUUGAAGGUUGUGAAAAUUCAUGACGGUACAUGUAAGAAUAAUACAGUCAAUUAAGAUGCAACAGCAAUCAGCCAAAUGGGCCAGGAUUAUGAAAUACCAUUGUUAUUAAUUUGAUGAGGAACAACAAAUUAAGUAAAAUUAUGCAGUUGGAGCAAA
Saccostrea cuccullata (small rock oyster) is the source of this 404-nucleotide long non-coding RNA. RefSeq lists it as uncharacterized. The transcript is spliced from 3 exons. The record is from RefSeq and is a predicted model, not a curated record. Lineage: Eukaryota; Metazoa; Mollusca; Bivalvia; Ostreida; Ostreidae.